Molecule: ribosomal RNA, 443 nt
Filed under: uncultured Leptolinea sp.
Lineage: Bacteria; Bacillati; Chloroflexota; Anaerolineae; Anaerolineales; Anaerolineaceae
Description: bacterial SSU rRNA
Rfam family: Bacterial small subunit ribosomal RNA
Source: RNAcentral
ACAAGCAGCGGAGCGUGUGGUUUAAUUCGAUGUUACACGAAGAACCUUACCAGGUUUGACAUGCAAGUGGUAGGAAGCCGAAAGGUGACCGACCCUUCGGGGAGCUUGCACAGGUGCUGCAUGGCUGUCGUCAGCUCGUGUCGUGAGAUGUUCGGUUAAGUCCGCUAACGAGCGCAACCCUCGCUGUGUGUUAUAUGUGUCACACGGGACUGCCGGUCUUAAGCCGGAGGAAGGUGGGGAUGAUGUCAAGUCAGCAUGGUCUUUAUGUCCUGGGCUACACACACGCUACAAUGGCCAACACAAUAGGUUGCUAAGCCGCGAGGUGGAGCCAAUCCUCAAAGUUGGUCUCAGUUCAGAUUGCAGGCUGCAACCCGCCUGCAUGAAGAUGGAGUUGCUAGUAACCGCAGGUCAGCUAUACUGCGGUGAAUACGUUCCCGGGGCUU